AUGAGAUAAACAAGAAGCUGAGGGAGAGAUAGCCAGGGAUCCCUGAAGUGCUGGGACUUGGGAGGAAGUUUCUAGUCUCCUCACAGCAAUGAAUUCCAGGACCAAGAACUACAUAAGUGAAUAAGAAGAAUAUAAUUCAGAAGGGCUGAUACCUCUUGGAAGGUGUGAGAAGGCUGAGCUUUUGCUUAAGAUACCAGUAUUUCUCCAAAGGAAGGAGUGCUGAUAUAUCAGUGGGCAAUGUAUUCAGAGCUCAUUUCCUAGACAGAGCACUGAGAUGUCAUGAAUGCCUGUGUGCUAUACUCACCUUCCCCAUGGUACCGGGUGUUCUGGGUGCCUACUGAUGGCAGGAGAGCACCCUCAGCCCCACUGAGAUGUGGGGCACUGUGGUACAGAGGCAGAUCCAGGCUCUCCUGGCUUUCUAGCACCUGUGCCUCAACCACGAGGCCAAAUGCAUACUGAAGGUACCUGUAUUUUACUGCCCCCCUCUUCUGCAUUAAUUAAAACACAUCACUGCACACUUAAGCAAUUUGAAUGUUUUGGAACAAGUCUCGGGACAGCCAAGGGCAUUCAAAGUGAGGAGAAGGCUGGCAGCUUGCCUUCAGCUCUCCGGCUUACCUUGUCUAUCAGCAGCACACAUCACGCAUUGCAAAACUGUGAGAUCUCUGCAGACCCAGAAACAAUGCUCUGGAGGAGAACACAAGGCUCAAGGCAGAGAUCCUCGGUCUUCCUGGGGCUCCAUGACACUGACCGGCUGCCAACAUCUCCACUGAUCUUCUUUCAGUUUUUCCUUGUUUUAUUUUAACAUCUCUCUACGAAAAGCUGGUGGGAACCGUUACUGUAGAAGUGCUCUAUCAGAAUGAUGGCUAAGGGAAAGCUCUGCUAGAUCUGGGGUACGCCUUCCUCUUGGGGAAUUUUUGGAGCUAUCUAAGGCAAGAAAGAGGGAAUUAACAGCAUGUCAAAUAAAAUUCAGGGCUCACAGAGACUCUGUUUUGCCCUUGAGGCCGUAAUGAAGGUCAGGGUAUAAGUGAACAUUCCCCCAAAGGUCUGUUUGCCUUUCCGUCACCUAUCGGUCGUCAGCAGGACACUGCAAGAGAAGAGACCUCAGGUGACCUCCAGAGCUUCUGGUGUGCUGUGGACUCCAGGCAGCAGACAGUUGACUACAGUCUAGAAUGGAAAUGAAGGACUAAUUUGCCCAGGGACAUUCCCUUUUGUAUUUUAAAGUAAUGCAAAGUGUCUUUUCACUUUCAGCUCUGGAUUUCAGGCCUAAGAUGAAGAGUCACUGCCAUUAGUUCCACACCAUCACAAUUGUAACAUCAAAACAAGCACUGUAUUAAAAAUAAACACAGCAGGCAUUCACUGGCAUGAUUAAAAUGUAUACAUAUGGGUG
Gallus gallus (chicken) is the source of this 1387-nucleotide long non-coding RNA. The record is from Ensembl. NCBI's taxonomy places the organism in Eukaryota, Metazoa, Chordata, Aves, Galliformes, Phasianidae.